Molecule: small nuclear RNA, 100 nt
Organism: Callithrix jacchus (white-tufted-ear marmoset)
Lineage: Eukaryota; Metazoa; Chordata; Mammalia; Primates; Cebidae
Source: Ensembl
UGGCUUCGGCAGCCCAUACACUAAAAUAGGAACGGUGCAGAGAAAAUUGGCGUGGCCCCCGCGCAACGACACGCAAAUUUGUAAAGUGUUCCAGAUUUUU